AUUGAACGCUGGCGGCAUGCUUUACACAUGCAAGUCGAACGGUAACAGGCCUUCGGGUGCUGACGAGUGGCGAACGGGUGCGUAAUGCAUCGGAACGUGCCCAGAGGUGGGGGAUAACGCAGCGAAAGCUGUGCUAAUACCGCAUGUGAUCUGAGGAUGAAAGCGGGGGACCAGGCAGCAAUGUUUGGCCUCGCGCCUUUGGAGCGGCCGAUGUCAGAUUAGGUAGUUGGUGGGGUAAAGGCCUACCAAGCCGACGAUCUGUAGAUGGUCUGAGAGGACGACCAGCCACACUGGGAGUGAGACAAGGACAAGACAACUACGGGAGGCAGCAGUGGGGAAUUUUGGAAAAUGGGCGCAAGCAUGAUACAGCAAUGCCGCGUGAGGGAAGAAGGCCGUCGGGUUGUAAAACGCUUUUGUACGGAACGAAAAGGGUCUGGCUAAUACCUGGGGCUGAUGACGGUACCGAAAGAAUAAGCAACGGCUAACUACGUG
RNAcentral lists this ribosomal RNA (492 nucleotides) under uncultured bacterium. RNAcentral describes it as "partial 16S ribosomal RNA". It matches the Rfam family "Bacterial small subunit ribosomal RNA", at positions 29 to 507 of the family's 1533-position model. The record is from RNAcentral.